This is a long non-coding RNA of Papaver somniferum (opium poppy), 2189 nucleotides long. RefSeq lists it as uncharacterized. The record is from RefSeq and is a predicted model, not a curated record. NCBI's taxonomy places the organism in Eukaryota, Viridiplantae, Streptophyta, Magnoliopsida, Ranunculales, Papaveraceae. The transcript is spliced from 3 exons.
AGAAUUUCUAAUUCUCUUUCAUUCUCUUUUCUUCUCUUUCUUCUUCUUCUUCUUCUUCCGUCCCUCUCCUGUUAUUUUUCUGUUAAUAAUUUCGAGAAUUAGUUCUUGAUUCUGAUUUGAUAUAAGCUGGUAGAGAUCGAAGGUUAAGUGAUGCUGGUGGUGCUGGUCGAUCUGGUGAAAUUAAACCCUACAGGAAAGGUAAAACAGAGAUAUGAAUUAGGGUUUAUAGAGUUGAAUGAUGUUCUGGAGAUUUGGAAAACGAUUAUGGAGUUGUUGUUAGAUGAAGAAUCUUGGGUAGAUUUUUAAUUGAUGUUUUGAAGUGGUUCCGAUAAAGAUCUGAGAAGAAUUAGGGUUUGUUAGAAGAGUCGGGGAGGAUGAAAUUGAGAGUUUAGAGAACUGAUUUGGAGGUGGGUUUGACGUGAAUUAGGGUUUAGGUUGAAGAACACUUGAAGAUUUAUGGUUAGGGUUUUGAUUGAAUCUGAGAUUGAAGUUUGAAGCUGUGAACGAGAACUUGGGUUUGUUGUUGAUGUUCUGAGUUAAGUGAAGAAGAAAUUGAAUGCAAUUGCCAGAAUAACAUAGAUUUGAGGUAAUUGUUCUGAUUUCGUAGUUUGUAUAAUUUUUUAUUGAACUGAGAUUGAUGUGAUUAUGUAUUUGGAAUUGAAUUGAUGGUGUUGAUGAAUGAAAUUGUAAUUAGGAAGUUAAAUCUGGAAUUAAUGAUGAGACAGUUGAGGGUUGGAAAUGGUGAAUGUGAAGUCUAAUUAUGGAUAGUGGAAUUGAACAGGUAGUGUUAUUAAUUGAGUAUGUGUAAUUGAUGAUUGAGCUAAGGUCUGAGAUGGGUGUUUAUUGAAGUUUGGAUGUGAAUAAAUGGAACUGUUACGUGUGUUGCUUGUUGGCGGUUAUGGAUAUGAACUGUAUGAGCUGUUGCAGGUGAAGUUGUUAGUGGCUCAUGUCAAGAAGAAAGAUCUGAGAGUUUAGAAUAUUGUUAUGAUCUGAACAUGGAAUUGGUGUUAGUGAAAUGGUUUUGUUGGAUGCUACUGUGAUAAACAAGGUGACUGGGGUUAUUAUAAUGAUGGUUGUUAUGUGUGGAUGAGAUUGGAGAAAAUGGAAUUCUGGAGAUGUAUGAGGUUGUUGUGGUGAAUACAAAGAAUUGUGAUACAAUUUCUGGUGCAGAGUUAUUCAGUCAGUGUGUGUAUGAGUUUAAGGUUGGAUGUGCUAUCAGUAUUGAAUCACAGGCUUAGAUGAAUGGAUUAAGAGUAUGUGAGAUAGAGAAAAGAAUUGAAGGCGACUGUAGUUGAGCUUGGUGUUGAUUGCUGUUAGUGAUUCAUACUGGUGUUGUGGUGUAGUGAAGUUAUAAGGGUUGUGGUGCAGAUGAAAUGAGAAAAUGGAUGAAUGCUUAGGAUGAUACAAGACUGGUUUGAGUUGUAAGAGUAAUUAAAGUUGUUUGGAACUCUUAAAUGGAGUCUGGUGGUACAGUUAUUGUUUGGACAGUUAAGUGGUGAUGCUGUUGAAGUUGCAAGGAAUAUGAGUGGCUAGAGAUGGUGGUGUUUUCUGUGUGGUUGAAUGGCAGAACAGGAGUUAGAGGUAGUUAUGAAACUGUGGUUGAAUCAGUCGGGUGCUUAUGAUGUUGCCUGUGAUGCUGUUGGAGUGUGAAUGAGAGGAAAUGAUAUUAAUGUUGGUGUAUAGUAUAUGGAGCUAGAACUUCUCAGAGUUGAAGAGAUAUAGGAAGUAGGAAAAUUAAAGGGUGUUGCUUAGAGCUGCAUUUUUGCAGGAUGAAACAGUGGAUCGUGGAUCUCGAGGUAGGCGUGGCCUCUCAUCAAAAGAGUUUCAGAGACAGAUCAAGAUGUGCAGAGUUGCGCAGCGAAAGCUUCGAGGAGUUGAUUACGUUAUUUAGAUUGUUUUCGCUAUGUUUAUUUUGUGUUUAUAUUUUAUUUGUAAAUCAACUCACUAUUGAAUAUGUAUCAUUUGAGAGGAGUUCUUGUUUUUAUUUCAGAGCGGGUCUAGAUUCGGGUUAAUCUUUGGUUAGAACUUCUUUCUUGUUGUUUAAACAGAUGUUUUGGACUAGUCAGCUGCUAGUUUUGGGGACCCUAUAAAAACGUACAUUAAAUCAAUACUUACAUGUUUAUAAAUAAGAACAUUAAUUUUUUUUAUGAAAAGAAUAACACUGUAAUUAAAAGAGAAAAAUUCAUGCA